This 1713-nucleotide ribosomal RNA is filed under the name Vibrio parahaemolyticus. RNAcentral's name for it is "partial 23S ribosomal RNA". It matches the Rfam family "Bacterial large subunit ribosomal RNA", at positions 1152 to 2925 of the family's 2925-position model. The record is from RNAcentral. Lineage: Bacteria; Pseudomonadati; Pseudomonadota; Gammaproteobacteria; Vibrionales; Vibrionaceae.
AGUCGGCCUGCGCGGAAGAUGUAACGGGGCUAAGUAGUAAACCGAAGCUGCGGCAAUGUGCUUUUGCACAUUGGGUAGGGGAGCGUUCUGUAAGCGGUUGAAGGUGUGUGGUAACGCAUGCUGGACGUAUCAGAAGUGCGAAUGCUGACAUGAGUAACGAUAAAGGGGGUGAAAAACCUCCUCGCCGGAAGACCAAGGGUUCCUGUCCAACGUUAAUCGGGGCAGGGUAAGUCGACCCCUAAGGCGAGGCCGAAAGGCGUAGUCGAUGGGAAACGGGUUAAUAUUCCCGGCUCUUUUUAAGGCUGAGACACGACGUCGAGCACCUACGGGUGUGAAGUCAUUGAUGCCAUGCUUCCAGGAAAAGCCUCUAAGCUUCAGAUUGUAAGGAAUCGUACCCCAAACCGACACAGGUGGUCGGGUAGAGAAUACCAAGGCGCUUGAGAGAACUCGGGUGAAGGAACUAGGCAAAAUGGUACCGUAACUUCGGGAGAAGGUACGCUCUUGAUGGUGAAGUCCCUUGCGGAUGGAGCUGACGAGAGUCGCAGAUACCAGGUGGCUGCAACUGUUUAUUAAAAACACAGCACUGUGCAAAAUCGUAAGAUGACGUAUACGGUGUGACGCCUGCCCGGUGCCGGAAGGUUAAUUGAUGGGGUUAGACUUCGGUCGAAGCUCUUGAUCGAAGCCCCGGUAAACGGCGGCCGUAACUAUAACGGUCCUAAGGUAGCGAAAUUCCUUGUCGGGUAAGUUCCGACCUGCACGAAUGGCGUAAUGAUGGCCACGCUGUCUCCACCCGAGACUCAGUGAAAUUGAAAUCGCUGUGAAGAUGCAGUGUACCCGCGGCUAGACGGAAAGACCCCGUGAACCUUUACUACAGCUUGGCACUGAACAUUGACCCUACAUGUGUAGGAUAGGUGGGAGGCUUUGAAGCACGUACGCCAGUAUGUGUGGAGCCGUCCUUGAAAUACCACCCUUGUAGUGUUGAUGUUCUAACGUCGACCCCUUAUCGGGGUUGCGGACAGUGCCUGGUGGGUAGUUUGACUGGGGCGGUCUCCUCCCAAAGAGUAACGGAGGAGCACGAAGGUGGGCUAAUCACGGUUGGACAUCGUGAGGUUAGUGCAAUGGCAUAAGCCCGCUUGACUGCGAGAAUGACAAUUCGAGCAGGUGCGAAAGCAGGUCAUAGUGAUCCGGUGGUUCUGAAUGGAAGGGCCAUCGCUCAACGGAUAAAAGGUACUCCGGGGAUAACAGGCUGAUACCGCCCAAGAGUUCAUAUCGACGGCGGUGUUUGGCACCUCGAUGUCGGCUCAUCACAUCCUGGGGCUGAAGUCGGUCCCAAGGGUAUGGCUGUUCGCCAUUUAAAGUGGUACGCGAGCUGGGUUUAGAACGUCGUGAGACAGUUCGGUCCCUAUCUGCCGUGGGCGUUGGAAGAUUGAAGGGGGCUGCUCCUAGUACGAGAGGACCGGAGUGGACGAACCUCUGGUGUUCGGGUUGUGUCGCCAGACGCAUUGCCCGGUAGCUAAGUUCGGAAUCGAUAACCGCUGAAAGCAUCUAAGCGGGAAGCGAGCCCUGAGAUGAGUCUUCCCUGAUACUUUAAGUAUCCUAAAGGGUUGUCGGAGACUACGACGUUGAUAGGUCAGGUGUGUAAGUGCUGUGAGGCAUUGAGCUAACUGAUACUAAUUGCCCGUGAGGCUUAACCAUACAACACCCAAGGGGUUU